This 229-nucleotide ribosomal RNA is filed under the name Mesorhizobium sp. Its description in RNAcentral is "partial 23S ribosomal RNA". It matches the Rfam family "Bacterial large subunit ribosomal RNA", at positions 2105 to 2333 of the family's 2925-position model. The record is from RNAcentral. Lineage: Bacteria; Pseudomonadati; Pseudomonadota; Alphaproteobacteria; Hyphomicrobiales; Phyllobacteriaceae.
UGUAGCUUUGUAUUGGAUUUUGAACGGAUCUGUGUAGGAUAGGUGGGAGGCUUUGAAGUGAGGACGCUAGUUCUCAUGGAGCCGACGUUGAAAUACCACCCUGGUGCGUUUGAGGUUCUAACCCAGGUCCCUUAUCGGGAUCGGGGACAGUGCAUGGUAGGCAGUUUGACUGGGGCGGUCUCCUCCCAAAGCGUAACGGAGGAGUUCGAAGGUACGCUAGUUACGGUCG